GAUGAACGCUGGCGGCGUGCCUAAUACAUGCAAGUCGAGCGAACAGACGAGGAGCUUGCUCCUCUGACGUUAGCGGCGGACGGGUGAGUAACACGUGGAUAACCUACCUAUAAGACUGGGAUAACUUCGGGAAACCGGAGCUAAUACCGGAUAAUAUAUUGAACCGCAUGGUUCAAUAGUGAAGGACGGUUUUGCUGUCACUUAUAGAUGGAUCCGCGCCGCAUUAGCUAGUUGGUAAGGUAACGGCUUACCAAGGCAACGAUGCGUAGCCGACCUGAGAGGGUGAUCGGCCACACUGGAACUGAGACACGGUCCAGACUCCUACGGGAGGCAGCAGUGGGGAAUCUUCCGCAAUGGGCGAAAGCCUGACGGAGCAACGCCGCGUGAGUGAUGAAGGUCUUCGGAUCGUAAAACUCUGUUAUUAGGGAAGAACAAAUGUGUAAGUAACUAUGCACGUCUUGACGGUACCUAAUCAGAAAGCCACGGCUAACUACGUG
Molecule: ribosomal RNA, 497 nt
Filed under: uncultured bacterium
Lineage: Bacteria
Description: partial 16S ribosomal RNA
Rfam family: Bacterial small subunit ribosomal RNA
Source: RNAcentral